GACAGUUUGGCCGAGUGGUCUCAGGCGCCACAUUUAGGCUCUGGUCCGAAAGGGCGUGGGUUCAAAUCCCACAGCUGUCA
Gossypium arboreum is the source of this 80-nucleotide transfer RNA. It matches the Rfam family "tRNA". Rfam says of the family: Transfer RNA (tRNA) molecules are approximately 80 nucleotides in length. Lineage: Eukaryota; Viridiplantae; Streptophyta; Magnoliopsida; Malvales; Malvaceae. The record is from Rfam.